GCCGUCAUCCCAAUGGCUGGGACCCUCUUUCGUAAUGAGGUCUACCGUGAGUUCGAUUCUCACUGACGGCU
RNAcentral lists this transfer RNA (71 nucleotides) under Myxococcales bacterium. RNAcentral describes it as "tRNA-Thr". Lineage: Bacteria; Pseudomonadati; Myxococcota; Myxococcia; Myxococcales. RNAcentral also lists the same sequence under 1 other name. The record is from RNAcentral.